This 349-nucleotide ribosomal RNA is filed under the name Moritella sp. PE36. RNAcentral describes it as "bacterial LSU rRNA". It matches the Rfam family "Bacterial large subunit ribosomal RNA", at positions 2583 to 2925 of the family's 2925-position model. The record is from RNAcentral. Lineage: Bacteria; Pseudomonadati; Pseudomonadota; Gammaproteobacteria; Alteromonadales; Moritellaceae.
GCCAUUUAAAGUGGUACGCGAGCUGGGUUUAGAACGUCGUGAGACAGUUCGGUCCCUAUCUGCCGUGGGCGUUUGAGAAUUGAGAGGAGCUGCUCCUAGUACGAGAGGACCGGAGUGGACGAACCACUGGUGUUCGGGUUGUCAUGCCAAUGGCAUUGCCCGGUAGCUAAGUUCGGAACUGAUAACCGCUGAAAGCAUCUAAGCGGGAAGCAGGCCUCGAGAUGAGUUCUCACUGGAGCUUUAAGCUCCCUGAAGGGCCGUUGGAGACUACAACGUUGAUAGGCAAGGUGUGUAAGUGCUGUGAGGCAUUGAGCUAACUUGUACUAAUUACCCGUGAGGCUUAACCAUA